RNAcentral lists this ribosomal RNA (726 nucleotides) under Streptomyces sp. YIM 61349. Its description in RNAcentral is "bacterial SSU rRNA". It matches the Rfam family "Bacterial small subunit ribosomal RNA", at positions 74 to 815 of the family's 1533-position model. Lineage: Bacteria; Bacillati; Actinomycetota; Actinomycetes; Kitasatosporales; Streptomycetaceae. The record is from RNAcentral.
ACCACUUCGGUGGGGAUUAGUGGCGAACGGGUGAGUAACACGUGGGCAAUCUGCCCUGCACUCUGGGACAAGCCCUGGAAACGGGGUCUAAUACCGGAUACUGACCCUCACGGGCAUCUGUGAGGUUCGAAAGCUCCGGCGGUGCAGGAUGAGCCCGCGGCCUAUCAGCUUGUUGGUGAGGUAAUGGCUCACCAAGGCGACGACGGGUAGCCGGCCUGAGAGGGCGACCGGCCACACUGGGACUGAGACACGGCCCAGACUCCUACGGGAGGCAGCAGUGGGGAAUAUUGCACAAUGGGCGAAAGCCUGAUGCAGCGACGCCGCGUGAGGGAUGACGGCCUUCGGGUUGUAAACCUCUUUCAGCAGGGAAGAAGCGAAAGUGACGGUACCUGCAGAAGAAGCGCCGGCUAACUACGUGCCAGCAGCCGCGGUAAUACGUAGGGCGCGAGCGUUGUCCGGAAUUAUUGGGCGUAAAGAGCUCGUAGGCGGCUUGUCACGUCGGUUGUGAAAGCCCGGGGCUUAACCCCGGGUCUGCAGUCGAUACGGGCAGGCUAGAGUUCGGUAGGGGAGAUCGGAAUUCCUGGUGUAGCGGUGAAAUGCGCAGAUAUCAGGAGGAACACCGGUGGCGAAGGCGGAUCUCUGGGCCGAUACUGACGCUGAGGAGCGAAAGCGUGGGGAGCGAACAGGAUUAGAUACCCUGGUAGUCCACGCCGUAAACGGUGGGCA